GAUGAACGCUAGCGGGAGGCCUAACACAUGCAAGCCGAGCGGUAUUGUUUCUUCGGAAAUGAGAGAGCGGCGUACGGGUGCGUAACACGUGUGCAACCUGCCUUUAUCUGGGGGAUAGCCUUUCGAAAGGAAGAUUAAUACUCCAUAAUAUAUUGAACGGCAUCGUUUAAUAUUGAAAGCUCCGGCGGAUAGAGAUGGGCACGCGAAAGAUUAGCUAGUUGGUGAGGUAACGGCUGACCAAGGCGAUGAUCUUUAGGGGGCCUGGGAGGGUGAUCCCCCACACUGGUACUGAGACACGGACCAGACUCCUACGGGAGGCAGCCGUGAGGAAUAUUGGUCAAUGGGUGCAAGCCUGACCCAGCCAUCCCGCGUGAAGGACGACUGCCCUAUGGGUUGUAAACUUCUUUUGUAUAGGGAUAAACCUACCCUCGUGAGGGUAGCUGAAGGUACUAUACGAAUAAGCACCGGCUAACUCCGUGCCAGCCGCCGCAGUAA
This 495-nucleotide ribosomal RNA is filed under the name uncultured bacterium. RNAcentral describes it as "partial 16S ribosomal RNA". It matches the Rfam family "Bacterial small subunit ribosomal RNA", at positions 28 to 523 of the family's 1533-position model. The record is from RNAcentral.